UACUCCUACGGGAGGCAGCAGUGGGGAAUAUUGGACAAUGGGGGCAACCCUGAUCCAGCAAUUCUGUGUGCACGAAGAAGGUUUUCGGAUUGUAAAGUGCUUUCAGCAGGGAAGAAGGAAGUGACGGUACCUGCAGAAGAAGCGACGGCUAAAUACGUGCCAGCAGCCGCGGUAAUACGUAUGUCGCGAGCGUUAUCCGGAAUUAUUGGGCAUAAAGGGCAUCUAGGCGGCCUGACAAGUCAGGGGUGAAAACCUGCGGCUCAACCGCAGGCCUGCCUUUGAAACUGUGAGGCUGGAGUACCGGAGAGGUGGACGGAACUGCACGAGUAGAGGUGAAAUUCGUAGAUAUGUGCAGGAAUGCCGAUGAUGAAGAUAGUUCACUGGACGGUAACUGACGCUGAAGUGCGAAAGCCGGGGGAGCAAACAGGAUUAGAUACCCUGGUAGUCCCGGCUGUAAACGAUGAUUACUGGGUGUGGGCAGGAAGACUGUCUGUGCCGAAGCGAAUGCGAUAAGUAAUCCGCCUGGGGAGUACGGCCGCAAGGCUGAAACUCAAAGGAAUUGACGGA
This 567-nucleotide ribosomal RNA is filed under the name uncultured bacterium. RNAcentral describes it as "bacterial SSU rRNA". It matches the Rfam family "Bacterial small subunit ribosomal RNA", at positions 334 to 917 of the family's 1533-position model. The record is from RNAcentral.